CAUUUGGGUUUACAUGGAACAUUUGGGUUUACAGCUUUCCAAACUCUUCCAAGAGAAUGAUGGGGCUGCUCUGGGAAGGCUCUGAGCAGGAAUCACAGGCUCAGGCCUUGCCUACAGCAGGAGGUGGAGGGAGAUCUGAUAGAUCAUCUGAGAGAUUCAGUGGCUGCAGAGUUUCUGCUCGCUCUCCAGUGACUAAGGAGGAGAGGAAAACCCAGAGUGUAUGAGAAGACCAAGCCCAGGAACUGAGCAUCCACCAAGUGACCCCACGGUGGACAACAAGAAGCUUCAGUGACCCUGAAUGAAGCUGCUGACAUUUCUUUUGAGCACCAUUGCAGAGCAAAUCUACCAAGUCACCUCAGCCUUCUCUGGGGGAAUCUGAACCACUUGAAUUUCUACUCAAGCACAUGAUUUGCUUCUGAUUAGAGAUAUGGGUAGGAAAAAACAUAAAUAAAGCAAGCACAGCCC
RNAcentral lists this long non-coding RNA (465 nucleotides) under Manacus vitellinus (golden-collared manakin). RNAcentral describes it as "lncRNA (ENSMVIG00005013903.1)". The record is from RNAcentral. Lineage: Eukaryota; Metazoa; Chordata; Aves; Passeriformes; Pipridae.